RNAcentral lists this long non-coding RNA (210 nucleotides) under Pomacea canaliculata. RNAcentral's name for it is "uncharacterized LOC112558146". The record is from RNAcentral. Lineage: Eukaryota; Metazoa; Mollusca; Gastropoda; Architaenioglossa; Ampullariidae.
GUGCAAGGUGUGACCUCAGGCAAUGUGACUGGUACUGAGUGCACUGUACAGGAGUCGUACCUGAUGUACAAAACUGUUCUGACUCAGCACGCGCACGAAGUCAGCACUAACACGUGGUGUUGGCAUUUUCCUCCGCGAUGUAGGAGAUGCAGAACAGAGCUGAGGUCAACGUACAAAGUGGUCACGGAGCUCGCCUAUCGCAGGAAGAAU